GGGGACGAUCGGUUUUGAUAAAAAGAAUAAUUAAACGCAUGCAAGCCGAGUAUGCCUUGUAUUCUCGUUAAAAAUCAGGGCAAAAAUAAGUGCAAACUUAUUUAGCCGGGUAAAAGACGCUUUUCGCGUUUUGACUCCCGCAUACGCUUUAGCUUAAAUUCUGAAGCCAUCGCCAUUUCCGAUUCUCAAUAGGAAAUACGCGGUGUCAUAUUAUUGAGAUACGGGAUUUUGACGCCCAAGGGAAAUCCUGAAAAUUUAUUGGGAUAAGCGCGGGUGUUUUGCCGGAUUUCAUAGCCCGCGACGAAAAUAAAAAAUUCGGUUACACUUGUAGACUUGCUUUAAUUUACUUUUUACACGCGGGUUCGAUUCCCGCCGUCUCCAUUC
RNAcentral lists this transfer-messenger RNA (384 nucleotides) under Parcubacteria group bacterium GW2011_GWA2_38_13b. It matches the Rfam family "transfer-messenger RNA". Rfam says of the family: Bacterial tmRNA, also known as 10Sa RNA or SsrA, is named for its dual tRNA and mRNA-like properties. RNAcentral also lists the same sequence under 1 other name. The record is from RNAcentral.